Molecule: ribosomal RNA, 460 nt
Filed under: uncultured bacterium
Lineage: Bacteria
Description: partial 16S ribosomal RNA
Rfam family: Bacterial small subunit ribosomal RNA
Source: RNAcentral
CCUACGGGUGGCAGCAGUGAGGAAUAUUGGUCAAUGGGCGGGAGCCUGAACCAGCCAAGUCGCGUGAGGGACGACGGUCCUAUGGAUUGUAAACCUCUUUUGUCGGGGAACAAAGGCGCCCACGGGUGGGCGGAUGAGUGUACCCGAAGAAAAAGCAUCGGCUAACUCCGUGCCAGCAGCCGCGGUAAUACGGAGGAUGCGAGCGUUAUCCGGAUUUAUUGGGUGUAAAGGGAGCGCAGGCGGCCUGCCAAGUCUGGUGUGAAAACCCGGGGCCCAACCCCGGGCCUGCAUUGGAAACUGGCGGGCUGGAGUGUCGGAGGGGCAGGCGGAAUUCCUAGUGUAGCGGUGAAAUGCGUAGAUAUUAGGAGGAACACCGGUGGCGAAGGCGGCCUGCUGGACGAUGACUGACGCUGAGGCUCGAAAGCGUGGGGAGCAAACAGGAUUAGAUACCCGUGUAGUC